CACAAUUCUUUAAAUUUUGUUAAAUUUGGGAAUUUAUUCUUUGCAUGUCUUCGAUUUUGAAUUGGAGUAGAACAAGAAUCGAUCUCUUAUUGCAAGGUAUUUUUUUGCCCUUAGUUAGGUAAUUUAAUUUCUUUUUUUUUUUUCUUUUUUUCGUGAAUUCUGUUUUCAAAUUUUUAUCCCUAUUUUUGUUGUUUUUUAUUUUUUAAAAAAGUUUUUUAUAGGUGUGAUGAAUUUGAUGGCGUUUUCUAGGGAGUUACUAAUGGAUUUUUCGACUAUGUUGUGAUAUCACUUUCUUGUUUUCAAGAUUGUCUUGAAUUAUUUGGAAAAGUUAAAGGUUUGCUGGCUUAAAUAGGGGUUCGUAUGCAGGCCCGUCCCUAAGGUAGGGCAAUAGGUGCCAUCGCCCGGGGCCCAACUGAAGGAGGCCCAAAUUUACAUUAAAGCCAGAUUUAUAAUAAAAAAAAGAAAAAAAAAAUUCUUAAUUAAUGAUACUACCUACGCAUGCUUUUCUCCAGUUUUCCAUAUCAUGUUCAUCAGUUCAUAUUCCCAAAUCUCAAGUUCUCAACUUCCAAUUCCUAUAUUCAUUCGUAAUUAGUUUCCCAAAAAUAUUUUAAUUGCGAUUUUCCAACUCCCCUUCCUAAAUAAUCUCUUUUCAGCCAAAUUCAAUUGAUCUUCUUCCCGUUUUUUUUUUUUUUUUUUUUUUUUUUUUUUUUUUUUUUUUUUUUGUAAUUUUCAACCACAUUAAUCUCCAAAAACAACUCUAAUUCAAUAAUCAAACGGUCUUCUUCCUUGAUUUUCAAUGGAAUUCGCCUCACAUUAUUCACCUAUAAAUAAUCCCCCAUCCAAUUAUUCUACAUCUCAAUUCAAUUUUCUGAUUUAUUUUCUUACUCUUUGUUUUAAUUUAAACACUUGUAAUGGGUAUUACGGUGGACGAAUAUCGGAAAUUUGGAGAUCGAUUUUGCUAUGCUCGAAAAAUCUGAGUCCUUUAGGAAAAAAAUGACUUAUCGAACCAAGAGAGCAAGGGAGAUACUUGCUGGCACAACAAAGUCACAUGAUCCAGUCUCAUCACAGUCACCAAUAACCACAACUGCACAUACUUCUUUUACUGCUGAAGCUUCACAACCCACCAAAAAACAAGUUGCAUAUACUACUUCUGUUGUUGAAGCUUCACAACCCACCAAAAAACAAGCUAGAAAGUCACCACAAACUGAGGUUCUUAGGGAUGACAAAUGGGGACCUUUUCCUCCACCCAUUACCACUACAAAAUGUGACCAACCACCACCUAAUAAUUUAGGAUCCAUUUGGAAAAUUCCUCCUGGUUCAACAUUGAGUUCAGUUAAGGAAGGAGUUAAUGAAAAGCUUAAAGACCAGGUCGGACACAACAAUCUUCUUCUUAAUGCACUUGUUGAAUAGUUUUAUGAGAUUGUAGGUGCAGUUCUUCAAGGGAAUAGAUCUUUAAUUCUUCUAAAGAAAACAUCUGAAUUCUUAGAAAUGGCAAACAACCAGGCAAUGUAGGUGCAACAAGAGAAUAGGCUGGAACACUUGAGCAUCAAAUCAAGCAACUAUAUAGUCUAUAAUGCCAUCAUCUAUCUAUUUUGUUUUUUAGUCUUAAUUAUAUUAGUGAUGUAUUUAUUUAGGGAUAAGCUACUAUAUAAUAUGUGACGCCUUUUCUUUUUUUAUUUUUAUUAAUUGUGUUGAUGUUUUUGUUUAUAAAUUUGGUAAUUUAAUUAACCACAUACUCUUAUUAUUGUUGAUUAAUUAUUGUUUUUUUUUUUUAAUCUGAUCUACUUAUAUAGAAUAUUUGUUUACUUCAUUUUAAUGUUAAUAAUUUAAUUUAUGAUAAAUUUAAAUAACUAUAAUGUAUGUAUGAUGGUAAUAAUUUAAUAAAAGGAAAAAAAAAGCUUAAAAAAAUUUUCUAGACGCUUUUUAAUGUCUAUAUAUUUUGCAUAUUUUCAAAUUUUAAGAGUUUCCCGCCAUAUGGGCUGACACG
Chenopodium quinoa (quinoa) is the source of this 1987-nucleotide long non-coding RNA. RefSeq lists it as uncharacterized. The transcript has 3 exons. The record is from RefSeq and is a predicted model, not a curated record. NCBI's taxonomy places the organism in Eukaryota, Viridiplantae, Streptophyta, Magnoliopsida, Caryophyllales, Amaranthaceae.